Long non-coding RNA from Triticum aestivum (bread wheat), 781 nucleotides. RefSeq lists it as uncharacterized. Lineage: Eukaryota; Viridiplantae; Streptophyta; Magnoliopsida; Poales; Poaceae. The record is from RefSeq and is a predicted model, not a curated record. The transcript is spliced from 3 exons.
UCUGGUUGGAUGGUCACAUUGGAGACCAAGACUGGAAUGUCACAAGGAUUCCACUGAAGAAAACUACUGCACUUUUAUGCAGGGAUUGACGUCCCAACAGACACUGAUUAGGCUAAUUGCUACCCGUUUUUGCAUAUAUAAACAACAAGUUCGAUGCUUCCUUCCAGCAUGUAACCAACCUGACACCACAAAGUGUUCGAAAAGUGACAGAAUGGAUAUCCGGAGACCGGAUCAUUUUGAAUUAACACGCACAAUGCUGACAGUCAACGUCUCAAUCUGUUACAGCUGUUGUUCUUGGCCUGAGCAGCAACUCUGUAUUGGCUCAGGAUGAUUUGGUUGCUCCAGCAGCUACAAGUGAGCAAGCUGAUGUAAAUGUUACUGGCCUACCUCGUAUAGAAGAUGAUUUAGUGAUCUCAAAUGAUCACACUAUCAAAUGGUGAAUGUGCACCGAUAAAGCAUGGAAGUUUUUCUUGUGUUACUAGUGUCCGGCCAGAAUUAGUAAGGUUUUUUGGUUUUGUCACUCCUUUGUUAUAUGGAAGAAGACUUCAUGGUAGAAGAUAGCGACAGCGUGCUGCCGGAUAAUGAGAUGUUGAAGCAGCAGACUGAAUCCAUGACACCGAAGUGCAAUUGCGGCAGAUUAUCUCUAUCUUUUCUUUUCAUUUUUCUUAUUAUUGAGUGAGAACAGAAUGAGGAACUGUGUGAUAGUACAUACAACAACUGUAGUAAAAAGAAACUUAUGUUUGCAAUUGUUAAUGACAUAGAUACUUGCAUGUUCUUUGAA